This is a long non-coding RNA of Phyllostomus discolor (pale spear-nosed bat), 1450 nucleotides long. RefSeq lists it as uncharacterized. Lineage: Eukaryota; Metazoa; Chordata; Mammalia; Chiroptera; Phyllostomidae. The transcript has 9 exons. The record is from RefSeq and is a predicted model, not a curated record.
GGGUGAGAGGGAGAACCUGCCGCCGCUCGCCGCCUCUUUGUCUGCUCCGGGACUGGGAACAAAGGGGGGAACUCUGAUGAACUCUCCUCCCCUCGCCCCGGACGCCCGGGUAUCUCAGUCUCGCAACUUUGCCGCCGCGACUUUCUGCGCUGUCAGGCCACACAAAAGUGUCCGCGCGCCUUGCGGACUGCAACGGGGGACGUCUCUGAAAAGUGCGACCAAGUGGGGAGAAGGUGUUAUUAUUAUUAUCAGCAUCUAGAAAACAUCAUUCGGUGCAUUGUUCUUGUGGGCUCCUUCUAAGAGUGAACAUUAUGGAAGCACCAAUAUGUCAUUGCUGGAUGAAAAGUUGUCAAACUUCUGGAGUAACGUAAAAGUUAAAAUGUUGGAAUUGUUUGUGAUGCCUCCCUUAUGUGGAUUACUACAAUUUGAUCACUGGGAACUCUCCACCUUAAAGAAGUACUCUCAGGAGACUUCAGAAGCACCAACACCCGCAUGUUCAGGUGUGAAUCAUGAUGACAGUGAAAGACGGUGAUUUACUACUUUGGGGGGCAUGUGUGUGUAUGAUUAAGGGAUGUGAGUGCAGGACUCCAAGAUUUACUUCCUUCCUGUUCCAGCGGGAUGGCCAAGGAGAGUGAGUAAUGGGAUAAUUUAUACCGCCGCAGGCCCUUCGUCAAGAGACCUCUAGUCAAAACAGGAAGAUAAAACUCAGAUUUCAACUGGGAGAAUACAACUUUUGAUACUCUCUGAGCACUUCUUCUUUGCAAGCAGUAGUCUUCAGAAUUUUUGUUUCACUUUUUCAAGGAGGUUUCCAUGAAAAAGAGCCUUGUCCAUAUGUCAGGCUAUGAUGAAGCCACUGCCUCAAAUGAAGUCAAAGGGUGGAGCAUGAAGUUGAUCAUGACAUUGUUGCCUAGAACUGAACCUGAGCCCCUUCUGUAAGCUGAUCCAGCUCAUGUCGGCCUGACACAUGAACCAUGCAAAGCUUCUUUUUAAAGAGAUUUUAAUUCCUGCUUGACAGGCUAGGCUGAAGCCUGUGAGCGACAAUAGGUACAAUUGUCUGGUGGCAUUAUUUCCUCUUCACAUUCCAUGGACAUCAGAUCUUGAUUUGGAAGGUUUUCACAAAAUGUUCAGUAUCUGACUUAAUAUCAAAAUUACCAGUGAAGGUUAUCCUGCUAUCCUCCCUGAACAGCCUUCCCAGCUGCCCCUGACCCAUGCAUGGCUGCCCUCUGUUGUCCAGUCCACCAGAUGGCCUCAAAACUAACAGACCCAAAAGGGAAAUGGCUAAUGCUUUUGAAGCCUUUCUGACACUUCUCAUGGACACAGCCAUCUGAGAGAUGAGAAGCUCAGGCAGAGGAAAACACAGAAAUCAUCCUUGGUGCCCAUCCUGAGCCAGCUCCUAACAGAGAUGCCUGCAUUCUCAAUGUGGAUCCUGCCUUCACUCACUGGUUUUUGU